Non-coding RNA from Potamilus streckersoni, 78 nucleotides. The record is from the annotation of a GenBank genome assembly. NCBI's taxonomy places the organism in Eukaryota, Metazoa, Mollusca, Bivalvia, Unionida, Unionidae.
GACCCCUCCGGUGGCCUAGUGGUUAGAGUGUCCGCCUCGGAUGAGGGAGGUCGCGGGUUUAGAACCCAGACUGGGUCA